RNAcentral lists this ribosomal RNA (755 nucleotides) under uncultured Pseudomonadota bacterium. RNAcentral describes it as "bacterial SSU rRNA". It matches the Rfam family "Bacterial small subunit ribosomal RNA", at positions 31 to 831 of the family's 1533-position model. The record is from RNAcentral. Lineage: Bacteria; Pseudomonadati; Pseudomonadota.
GUACGCUGGCGGCACGCCUAACACAUGCAAGUCGGACGAAGUAGCAAUACUUAGUGGCAGACGGGUGAGUAACAUGUGGGUAUCUGCCCUUUGGCCUGGAAUAACACGAGGAAACUUGUGCUAAUACCGGAUAAGUCUUUACGGGGAAAGCUUUAUGCACCAUUGGACGAGCCCGCACUUGAUUAGUUUGUUGGUGGGGUAAUGGCCUACCAAGACUGUGAUCAAUAGCUGAUUUGAGAGGAUGAUCAGCCACAUUGGGACUGAGACACGGCCCAAACUCCUACGGGAGGCAGCAGUGGGGAAUCUUGCACAAUGGAGGAAACUCUGAUGCAGCGAUGCCGCGUGAGUGAAGAAGGCCCUUGGGUUGUAAAGCUCUUUCGUCGGGGAAGAAAAUGACUGUACCCGAAUAAGAAGGUCCGGCUAACUUCGUGCCAGCAGCCGCGGUAAUACGAAGGGACCUAGCGUAGUUCGGAAUUACUGGGCUUAAAGAGUUCGUAGGUGGUUGAAAAAGUUAGUGGUGAAAUCCCAGAGCUUAACUCUGGAACUGCCAUUAAAACUUUUCAGCUAGAGUAUGAUAGAGGAAAGCAGAAUUUCUAGUGUAGAGGUGAAAUUCGUAGAUAUUAGAAAGAAUACCAAUUGCGAAGGCAGCUUUCUGGAUCAUUACUGACACUGAGGAACGAAAGCAUGGGUAGCGAAGAGGAUUAGAUACCCUCGUAGUCCAUGCCGUAAACGAUGUGUGUUAGACGUUGGAAAUU